GACGAACCGUGCGAACGUUGUUCGGAAUCACUGGGCUUAAAGGGCGCGUAGGCGGGCUGUCAAGUCCGGGGUGAAAUCUUUCGGCUUAACCGGAAAAGUGCCUCGGAUACUGGCAGUCUUGAGGGAGGUAGGGGUAUGUGGAACUUCCGGUGGAGCGGUGAAAUGCGUUGAUAUCGGAAGGAACGCCGGUGGCGAAAGCGACGUACUGGACCUCUUCUGACGCUGAGGCGCGAAAGCUAGGGGAGCGAACGGG
Molecule: ribosomal RNA, 253 nt
Filed under: uncultured bacterium
Lineage: Bacteria
Description: partial 16S ribosomal RNA
Rfam family: Bacterial small subunit ribosomal RNA
Source: RNAcentral